RNAcentral lists this ribosomal RNA (484 nucleotides) under uncultured bacterium. RNAcentral's name for it is "partial 16S ribosomal RNA". It matches the Rfam family "Bacterial small subunit ribosomal RNA", at positions 28 to 523 of the family's 1533-position model. The record is from RNAcentral.
GACGAACGCUGGCGGCGUGCUUAACACAUGCAAGUCGAACGAUGAAGCCGGAGCUUGCUCUGGUGAAUUAGUGGCGGACGGGUGAGUAACACGUGAGUAACCUGCCCUUGACUCUGGGAUAACUGCUAGAAAUGGUAGCUAAUACCGGAUACGACCCUCGGAGGCAUCUUCAGGGGGUGGAAAGAAUUUCGGUCAAGGAUGGACUCGCGGCCUAUCAGCUAGUUGGUGAGGUAAUGGCUCACCAAGGCGACGACGGGUAGCCGGCCUGAGAGGGUGACCGGCCACACUGGGACUGAGACACGGCCCAGACUCCUACGGGAGGCAGCAGUGGGGAAUAUUGCACAAUGGGCGCAAGCCUGAUGCAGCAACGCCACGUGAGGGAUGACGGCCUUCGGGUUGUAAACCUCUUUUAGUAGGGAAGAAGCGAAAGUGACGGUACCUGCAGAAAAAGCACCGGCUAACUACGUGCCAGCCGCCGCAGUAA